Molecule: ribosomal RNA, 253 nt
Filed under: uncultured bacterium
Lineage: Bacteria
Description: partial 16S ribosomal RNA
Rfam family: Bacterial small subunit ribosomal RNA
Source: RNAcentral
UACAGAGGUCUCAAGCGUUGUUCGGAAUCACUGGGCGUAAAGGGUGCGUAGGUGGCGUGGUAAGUCAGUUGUGAAGGCCCGGGGCUCAACCUCGGAAUUGCAGCCGAUACUACCAUGCUUGAGUACUGGAGAGGUGACUAGAAUUCUAGGUGUAGCAGUGAAAUGCGUAGAUAUCUAGAGGAAUACCAAAGGCGUAGGCAGGUCACUGGACAGUUACUGACACUGAGGCACGAAGGCCAGGGGAGCGAACGGG